This is a long non-coding RNA of Equus quagga, 4154 nucleotides long. RefSeq lists it as uncharacterized. The record is from RefSeq and is a predicted model, not a curated record. The transcript has 3 exons. Lineage: Eukaryota; Metazoa; Chordata; Mammalia; Perissodactyla; Equidae.
UUCGGGGUCGGGUGAUCAGAACCAGCUCACGUGUGCGAGCCGGGCCGUGAGCGGGCCGGAGCCCGUGCAGGGCACACCAGCAGGCAAACAGGCGCUGCUGUUCCUGUUUUCCAGCCGCAGGGGAAGACCGGGGCUAUUUUUAGCUGCGACAGUCACUGAGGCCCAGCUGUGCUUUGGGCAGUCCUGGGAGCUGCAAAUAUAUCCGGCGAACAAGACUGAGUCUCACUUGACUGACAUCUGUCAUUGAAGAGGCUGUUCUAACUGGGGACAACAGGAAGCCAACCAACCACGGCCACCAGCACCACCCCCUGGAGAACCUCAAGCCUCGAGGGAUAAAUACACAAUGGAAAUAAAGCAAGGCAAGAACCAUCGAGCGUGCCAGGGGAGCGACUUUAAAGGGAUGAUAUUGAAGGACCUCUCUGAGGAUGUGUGGUGAACAGCAAGAAGGGCCUGCCAUGCACAAAAAUCUAGGAAAAGAACAUUCUAGGAGAAGAGACCUGCCAGCGGAGAGGCCCUAAGACAAGACUGAGCUUAGCUGGAGGAAUGGCGAGAGGCCCGGGUGGCAGGGAUGAGCAGGAUCAUUGGCGGUUGUUAGCAGCAGAGCAUCCUCAGUGCUUAUCUACCUGAGCAGUCACUCUGGCCGCUGCGUGGAGGGUGAUCAGAGCCAGGGAGCAGGCAGCAGCGGAAACAGGGACGAGGACCCGCAGCCCCGCCACGCUGUCCGCAAAUCGCAGUCUGCACUUCCUCAGGACAAGCGGGAGAGGUGGGAGCUAUCACUCCAGCUUCCAGUAAGGAUCCGUUUCAUAUCCUUUCACAAAGCCAAGCACAGUUCGGGGCAUGUAGCUGUCCCUUUAAUAACGUUUGAUGUUUGAUUAAUAAGUUAAACAACCCAUUGAGUCCAUCUACUCAAAGAAUCAGACAAACCAAUUAAAAGGCCUGACCACAAAGCCCCGACACAGCAGCUGCUUGCCGGCCCUGGUCAGUUGCUUGACCGAGGAGCCUUGUCAAGCUCAAUCAACAGGGUGAAGCCAGGAGUGCACGAUGACACGGAGUUUGAGUCUGCCAUUGUUCUCUCUCGCCACUGCUGGGCUGGGGCUCUGUGCCUCCAGGAAUCUGGAGGAACACAAACACAUUCUUUUCCAAACCUGGCAUUUCCAGUCUUCGGUCAUUUGUCAUCAUCUAGCCCGACCAGGAGCAGCCCCGAGUCUGAGUGUGGCUCAGCAGGGCCCACCAGGCAGAGCGCCGCUCACGCUUUAUCUGCUUCCUCUCAGAGUCACUGUUCAACACGGCAUCUUUGGGCUUGCCUCGCAAACCGGUCCUGAGUCACUGCAGAGGCUGGGGAAAGGCAGGCAUACUUCCUGUCCUAGCCGUGCAGCUCCGGGGCCAGACCGAGGCAUAGACGCCAAAACUGGCUCACUGCCAUCCUCAGAUAAAAGGCACAGGGGACUAGAGCGCCUGCCCUGCGCAGCCUCUCCUGGGGGGAAGCCCCACCCAGCCCCGUUGAGAGAGUAUAGGAAGAUUCCUUGACUGACUCUCUGGGAGUGAACCCCUGACCCAAAAGCGUUUCCUACAUAGAGUGGCCUUUAACUUGCAGUCUGGCUUGAAAAGGUGAGUGAAGUCAGUGAAAUCACUCUCCUAGGAUUUGGAAUCCCAAAGCAGAGACAUGGUGGUCAAGAGUGGCCCCUGGGCUGAGAGGUGAGGCAGAAAAGGCAGAGCUAGUGCAGGAGGCCACAUGCUGAGGAUGCAGAGGACGCUGGGGCGGGGAGAGAGAAGAGCAGAGACAGAGCGAGAGAUAAAGAGGGAGGGAGAAAGAAGCAAAGUCUAGAACUGUGCUGUACAAUAUGGUGGCCCUGUGUGGCUAUUUAAUUUUAUUUAAAUAACAAUUUUAAUUAAUUUAAAUUUAAAUUAUUUAAAUAACAUUAGAGGUUUAAAAUUCAGCUCCUCAGCUGCACUACACAGAUACGGAACAUUUCCGUCAUCUCAGAUGGUUCUGUGGGGCCGCGCUGGUCUAGAAGACUCCCGGGGUGGAGCAUAAGGAGUCUUGGUUCCAGGUUUUCAGUUCCUGAUUCCAGUGCACGGAAGCUCAGCACACCCACUGUCCCCUACCAGGGGAGAUAAUUUAUGUUCUUAUAAUUCACAUCUACCGCGCUAACUCUCCCCCCACUAUCUUUUUCUUGACUUAGUUUGAGUAGAUUUUAGUUCUUAUUUUAGCUUUUUAUAAUCAAGAAAAUCUUAACCAAGAACACGUAUUGACUGACUGGUAUUAAUAAUAAAAAUAAUAACCACAACAAUUUACUGAGUGCUUAUGAGCCUGAACACCAGGCCUUGACGUUUCACAUGCAUGUUUUUGUUUAAUCCUCUCAGGAACUUUAUAAUAGAGGUCUUUUAUUGCCAUUCAAGAGCUGUAGCAACCAAGGCACAGAGAUGUUGAGCAAGUUGUCCGAGGUCACAGAGAGGCCGGGUGGCAAAGCAGGAAUGGAAUUGAUCCUCCAUCUUCAAGAGUUGAUGCGUAGGAGCUUGGCCUGAAUUUUAACCACGGAAGCAUGAAAAGUGGCGGAUACCCCACUUUGGGACAUGGUAAGCAGGUACUAGAAGUCUGAAACUUCUUGGGGAUCUCUGAAUUCUGGGACACCUUCCUAGGGCAGCUGGUCUCAUUCCAGUCAUCUCUCUGCCUAGUGCUCUUUUUCCCACUACAGAACAGGAAGUUUGAGAAGUGACAGGCCACAGGCACAGGCCGGCCCUGCUGAGAAAUCGCCAUCAGGAGCAAACCACAUGUCCUGUGAACUCGGGGACCUGCCAGCAAAAUUCCCUGAUGCUGGAACUUCGGGCAGAGAGCGCCGGUCUUGCGCUGAUUGGCGUCAGGAGCCAAGUGUGGUGGGGGAGGGGAGUCAGCACAUAUUUCUCCGCUGAACUCCGUUUCCCAUUUGGUUUGGCAGCUUGUUUUUCAUGAAAUGAGGCCAAUCCACGAAUUCCGUGUCAACAUCGCUCCUUUUACUGGAACCGCAAAGGCAGCCCCCCGGGACUGGCUCCAUCUCUGGGCAGACAUCAAAAACAACCCCUUUUCGCUUUGAAAGCAUAGCAGGCGUCUCAGAGCCCCCCACUUCCUUACCUGUGUUUCCCUCUGAGGAAGAAAGCAAGGACCAGGGCCCGUGGCUGCAGCGCCCCGGGCUCACUGUUGGCACAGCAGCCCUGGGCUGGCCACGCUGCGGGCUCUCCUGGCCCUGCUGCCCGUCUGCCCUUUCUUGUGCGUCCAAGGCCCGGAGGCUCCUUCCUGCCUGCUUGUCUUGCUUCCAGGACUAACUUGAUGAGUAGGCACGGCCUCCCCAGCCCCUCAGCUGUCACCCUGCCACAGCUGCCCUCCUGCUGCGACCUCAGGGGGUUGCAGAAGGUGCUGUGGCAUCCAAAAUCCACUCCCCAUCAGGGACUAGAGCCGAACUUCCGAGGCCUCCAGGGCUCCUCUGCUCUGGGGAGGGGGCCUCCUCUUAGCUGCUCCAACACCUGCUGCCCAGCGGGGUGGGGCCGGUGUGCAGGUAGGAGCAAGCAGGCACAUUUGGGAAGGAGAAUAAUAGUGGGUAGUGAGUAGCGGACAGUCAGAAGUGGCUUUAUUGGCAACUGGUACGUACUGAUGGGCACAUCAGCAGCAAGGUUCGCUGCAUACAAGGUUGUCUGCAUGAGAGAGGAGGUGGGAGAAAGGCUGUCCUGGGGCAUGGGGUGACCUGGCUCCAGGUCACUUUUCUCUAGGAAGGUCCUGCUCUGUGUCCUCUCGACACCCUGUGCUUCUCUUUUGGCUGCAGCCCCUGUCACGGCCUCUGCACGCUCCUGUCUUCCCAGCUGCUGUCUUCCUCCCCAUCUCCUCCCAGGACCCAGCACCCUUGCGCAUAUGGUGAGGUCAGCGACCCCCUCCACUGUGUCAAGUGAGUGAAUGACUACUGGCUGCUCCUUGCAGUGCUGGGGAGACGAUGCAAGGGGCAGUGGGGUUGUCACGGCUCUAACCCAAGGGGAGGUCCUGAGGCACCAACAGCGUAGCAGUUUUGCAGUGUGCCCGGUGUGUGAGUCUGGGCUCCAUGACUUACUAGCCGUGUGCUGGACAAGCUGUUUAUCUUUCUGUGCCUCAGUUUCUUCAUGUAUAAAAUAGAGAUAAUAAUACCUACCUA